Molecule: ribosomal RNA, 253 nt
Filed under: uncultured bacterium
Lineage: Bacteria
Description: partial 16S ribosomal RNA
Rfam family: Bacterial small subunit ribosomal RNA
Source: RNAcentral
UACGAAGGGGGCUAGCGUUGUUCGGAAUUACUGGGCGUAAAGGGCGCGUAGGCGGUGCCUCAAGUCAGGCGUGAAAGCCCCGGGCUCAACCUGGGAACCGCGCUUGAGACUGGAGUACUAGAGUUCGGGAGAGGAUGGUGGAAUUCCUAGUGUAGAGGUGAAAUUCGUAGAUAUUAGGAAGAACACCAGUGGCGAAGGCGGCUCACUGGUCCGGUACUGACGCUGAGGUGCGAAAGCGUGGGGAGCAAACAGG